UUCAAAUGAGAACUUUGA
Molecule: small nuclear RNA, 18 nt
Filed under: Arabidopsis thaliana (thale cress)
Lineage: Eukaryota; Viridiplantae; Streptophyta; Magnoliopsida; Brassicales; Brassicaceae
Description: snRNA_13908
Source: RNAcentral